Molecule: ribosomal RNA, 425 nt
Filed under: uncultured bacterium
Lineage: Bacteria
Description: partial 16S ribosomal RNA
Rfam family: Bacterial small subunit ribosomal RNA
Source: RNAcentral
GUGGGGAAUCUUGCGCAAUGGGCGAAAGCCUGACGCAGCCAUGCCGCGUGAAUGAUGAAGGUCUUAGGAUUGUAAAAUUCUUUCACCGGGGACGAUAAUGACGGUACCCGGAGAAGAAGCUCCGGCUAACUUCGUGCCAGCAGCCGCGGUAAUACGAAGGGGGCUAGCGUUGCUCGGAAUUACUGGGCGUAAAGGGCGCGUAGGCGGACAGCUUAGUCAGAGGUGAAGGCCCAGGUCUCAACCUUGGAAUUGCCUUUGAUACUGGCUGUCUUGAGUUUGGGAGAGGUGAGUGGAACUCCGAGUGUAGAGGUGAAAUUCGUAGAUAUUCGGAAGAACACCAGUGGCGAAGGCGACUCACUGGCCCAAUACUGACGCUGAGGCGCGAAAGCGUGGGGAGCAAACAGGAUUAGAAACCCGGGUAGUCC